RNAcentral lists this ribosomal RNA (483 nucleotides) under uncultured bacterium. RNAcentral describes it as "partial 16S ribosomal RNA". It matches the Rfam family "Bacterial small subunit ribosomal RNA", at positions 28 to 507 of the family's 1533-position model. The record is from RNAcentral.
GACGAACGCUGGCGGCGUGCUUAACACAUGCAAGUCGAACGCUGAAGCUCAGCUUUUGUUGGGUGGAUGAGUGGCGAACGGGUGAGUAACACGUGAGUAACCUGCCUCCUUCUUUGGGAUGACGCCCGGAAACGGGUGCUAAUACUGGAUAUUCACUGGUCUUCGCAUGGGGGUUGGUGGAAAGGGUUUUUCUGGUGGGGGAUGGGCUCGCGGCCUAUCAGCUUGUUGGUGGGGUGAUGGCCUACCAAGGCUUUGACGGGUAGCCGGCCUGAGAGGGUGACCGGUCACAUUGGGACUGAGAUACGGCCCAGACUCCUACGGGAGGCAGCAGUGGGGAAUAUUGCACAAUGGGCGCAAGCCUUAUGCAGCGACGCCGCGUGAGGGAUGGAGGCCUUCGGGUUGUGAACCUCUUUCGCUCAUGGUCAAGCCGCAACAAUGGUUGUGGUGAGGGUAGUGGGUAAAGAAGCGCCGGCUAACUACGUG